RNAcentral lists this long non-coding RNA (663 nucleotides) under Gallus gallus (chicken). RNAcentral's name for it is "long non-coding RNA NONGGAT002567". Lineage: Eukaryota; Metazoa; Chordata; Aves; Galliformes; Phasianidae. The record is from RNAcentral.
CUUAAUCAGCAGAAUACAGCAGAGCAUCGUUAACAAGAACACAGCAACGUUUGCUGCUCAAGGCUACUCCUUCAAGCACAAUGAGGGCAGAACGAAUGCUAAAGGCCACAGUUACGAGUUUGAAGCGUGCUCGAAGGAAGCACCUGAUUUGUUAUGGCUAUCAGACAGCAGACUUGAAUUUAUCAAGCUCAUUCAACCCAGAAGACAUUUGGUCCUUUUCACACUUCCGUUGGUGACUUUGGGUCACACGAAGUGACUGUCUCCCCUUUAUCCUGGAACUCAGCUAUCGACAGCACUACUGCUGGUCAUAUGCUCAGUUAAGACAGAAGACUUUCUACUCUGUAUCUGUUUCCUGAGACUUUCAUAUUGGUUCUUUAUUAUGGCACAAUAAAUUGAAUGUCAACUUCAUUAAAUUUGCUGUCCAAGUAUUUCCCUGUAGGGUAACAGGUGGGUACUUUAUAUCAGGCUUGGUCCUGACACACACUACCUAUUCUCUCCUUAAUGUGUCAGUCCUCAGCUCUAGUUACUCUCUCUCUGGAGGUAUCCAUGACAGGCACAGUUACAGACUUGAAACAUUAUACAUAAGAAACUCAAUACAGAUCUGAUUCUGUUUAGCAAAAUGACAAAAUGACUUUUUUUUUUUUCUAAUAGCAUGACUUUCAG